Molecule: ribosomal RNA, 621 nt
Filed under: Triticum aestivum (bread wheat)
Lineage: Eukaryota; Viridiplantae; Streptophyta; Magnoliopsida; Poales; Poaceae
Description: partial small subunit ribosomal RNA
Source: RNAcentral
CGCCGCUCCUCGCUCCGCCGCCUCCUCUCCUCGCCGGCCGUCUCCGCGGCCUGCCUCCUCUUCGGCCUCGCCGGGUUCCUCGCCGCCGCGGUCUCCCUCUCCUGGGCGCCCGCCGAGGCCCCGCGGGGCCGCUGCCCGGACUCCUCGCACCCGCUCUCCGUCUCCGUCGCCUGGGACCGGCGCCCCGGGGAUGCCGCGGGCGGCGCCACCGACCUCCCGGCGGGCCUCGCCACCGAAUCGCGCGGCAGGCACCAGGUCAUGGCCUUCGUCGGGAUCUUCACCGGGUUCGGCUCCGUCGGCCGCCGCCGCGCGCUCAGGCGGACGUGGCUCCCCUCCGAUCGGCAGGGUCUCCUUUUGUUGGAGGAAGCUACUGGUCUGGCAUUCAGAUUUGUGAUCGGUAAAAGCAAUGACAAGUCUAAGAUGGCAGCUCUUGAAAGAGAGGUUGAAGAAUAUGAUGAUUUUGUGCUUUUAGAUCUUGAGGAGGAGUAUAGCAGGCUUCCAUACAAAACGUUAGCAUUCUUUAAGGCUGCCUAUGCGUUGUUCGAUUCUGAUUUCUAUGUUAAAGCUGAUGAUGACACUUACUUGAGACCAGACCAACAUACACAAAUUUUAUUUUUGUAA